UGGGGAAUUUUUCGCAAUGGGGGAAACCCUGACGAAGCAACGCCGCGUGGAGGAUGAAGGCCUUCGGGUCGUAAACUCCUGUCGACCGGGACGAACGUAGUCCGGCCCAAUACGCCGGGCUAUCGACUGUACCGGUGGAGGAAGCCACGGCUAACUCUGUGCCAGCAGCCGCGGUAAUACAGAGGUGGCAAGCGUUGUUCGGAAUUACUGGGCGUAAAGGGCGCGUAGGCGGUUCGUUAAGUCCUGUGUGAAAUCCCCCGGCUCAACUGGGGAACUGCACAGGAAACUGGCGGGCUUGAGUUCGGGAGAGGGAAGCGGAAUUCCGGGUGUAGCGGUGAAAUGCGUAGAUAUCCGGAGGAACACCGGUGGCGAAGGCGGCUUCCUGGACCGACACUGACGCUGAGGCGCGAAAGCUAGGGGAGCAAACGGG
This 430-nucleotide ribosomal RNA is filed under the name uncultured bacterium. RNAcentral's name for it is "bacterial SSU rRNA". It matches the Rfam family "Bacterial small subunit ribosomal RNA", at positions 355 to 776 of the family's 1533-position model. The record is from RNAcentral.